GGUCUGUUCGUCUAGUGGUUAGGACGGGUGAUUCUCAGUCAUCAAACAAGGGUUCGAUCCCCUUACGGACUG
Spirochaetes bacterium GWB1_27_13 is the source of this 72-nucleotide non-coding RNA. The record is from Rfam. NCBI's taxonomy places the organism in Bacteria, Pseudomonadati, Spirochaetota.